AUUGAACGCUGGCGGCAGGCCUAACACAUGCAAGUCGAGCGAGAGGCGGACGGGUGAGUAAUGUAUGGGGACUGCCCCCUAGAGGGGGAUAAAUCUUGGGAAAGGUGUCUAAUAUCCCACAUUCUAGGAGAACCCAUAUGGGAUUUGCUAGUAGGGGUGGUAAUGGCUCACAUAGGGGACGCGCCCUAGCUGGUCUGUGAGGAUGAUCAGCCACACUGGAACUGAGACACGGCCCAGACUCCUACGGAGGCAGCAGUGGGGAAUAGUGCACAAUGGGCGCAAGCCUGAUGCAGCCAUGCCGCGUGUAUGAAGAAGGCCCUAGGGUUGUAAAGUACUUUCAGUCAGGAGGCGUUACCGGCAGAAGAAGCACCGGCUAACUCCGUGCCAGCAGCCGCGGUAAUAC
Molecule: ribosomal RNA, 403 nt
Filed under: uncultured bacterium
Lineage: Bacteria
Description: partial 16S ribosomal RNA
Rfam family: Bacterial small subunit ribosomal RNA
Source: RNAcentral